GCCUUGUUCAUGCUCAGUCUGUAGAGCAUGAGACUCUUAAUUUCAGGGUCAUGGAUUCAAGCCCUACAUUGGGCA
This is a non-coding RNA of Podarcis lilfordi (Lilford's wall lizard), 75 nucleotides long. NCBI's taxonomy places the organism in Eukaryota, Metazoa, Chordata, Lepidosauria, Squamata, Lacertidae. The record is from the annotation of a GenBank genome assembly.